GGUGGGACAUACUGCUGCGAAAAGCGUUUGGCAGGAAUACCCAUUGAUCAAGGACGAAAGUUAGGGGAUCGAAGACGAUUAGAUACCGUCGUAGUCUUAACCAUAAACGAUGCCAUCUAAGAGAUGGUGUAUUGAAUUUUAUAAUCGUACAUCCUUUUUUUCCGGGAAACCAAAGCUUUUGGGUUCUGGGGGGAGUAUGGUCGCAAGUCUGAAACUUAAAGGAAUUGACGGAAGGGCACCACCAGGAGUGGAGCCUGCGGCUUAAUUUGACUCAACACGGGGCAACUUACCAGGUCCGGACAUUUUUAUGAUUGACAGAUUGAUAGCUCUUUCUUGAUUGAAUGGGUGGUGGUGCAUGGCCGUUCUUAGUUGGUGGAGUGAUUUGUCUGGUUAAUUCCGUUAACGAACGAGACCUUUUCCUGCUAACUAGUUUUAUUUAUUUUCUUUGAAAGGAGAUGGAUAAACUUCUUAGAGGUACUAUUCGUUUUUCACGGAUGGAAGUUGUAGGCAAUAACAGGUCUGUGAUGCCCUUUGAUGUCCUGGGCUGCACGCGGGCUACACUGAUGCAUUCAAAGAGUAUUUUUUUACCUACUCUGACAAGAGUUAGUUUAAUCUUUCAAAUUGCAUCGAGCUUGCUAUUGAAUUCUGUAACUGUAUUCAUGAACGAAGAAUUACUUGUAUACACAAGUCAUCAACUUGCGUUGAUUACUACCCUGCCCUUUACUUAAA
Molecule: ribosomal RNA, 729 nt
Filed under: Galdieria sulphuraria
Lineage: Eukaryota; Rhodophyta; Bangiophyceae; Galdieriales; Galdieriaceae
Description: bacterial SSU rRNA
Rfam family: Eukaryotic small subunit ribosomal RNA
Source: RNAcentral